This 254-nucleotide ribosomal RNA is filed under the name uncultured bacterium. RNAcentral's name for it is "partial 16S ribosomal RNA". It matches the Rfam family "Bacterial small subunit ribosomal RNA", at positions 524 to 776 of the family's 1533-position model. The record is from RNAcentral.
UACGGGGGGAGCAAGCGUUGUUCGGAUUUACUGGGCGUAAAGGGCGCGUAGGCGGCCAGUGCAAGUCAGUUGUGAAAUCUCCGAGCUUAACUCGGAAAGGUCAACUGAUACUGCUCGGCUAGAGUGCGGAAGGGGCAACUGGAAUUCCCGGUGUAGUGGUGGAAUGCGUAGAUAUCGAGAGGAACACCGGUGGCGAAGGCGGCCUUCUGGACAGUGACUGACGCUGAGACGCGAAAGCGUGGGGAGCAAACAGG